Molecule: ribosomal RNA, 497 nt
Filed under: uncultured bacterium
Lineage: Bacteria
Description: partial 16S ribosomal RNA
Rfam family: Bacterial small subunit ribosomal RNA
Source: RNAcentral
GAUGAACGCUGGCGGCGUGCCUAAUACAUGCAAGUCGAGCGAACGGACGAGAAGCUUGCUUCUCUGAUGUUAGCGGCGGACGGGUGAGUAACACGUGGAUAACCUACCUAUAAGACUGGGAUAACUUCGGGAAACCGGAGCUGAUACCGUAUGAUAUUUUGAACCGCAUGGUUCAAAAGUGAAAGACGGUCUUGCUGUCACUUAUAGAUGGAUCCGCGCUGCAUUAGCUAGUUGGUAAGGUAACGGCUUACCAAGGCAACGAUGCAUAGCCGACCUGAGAGGGUGAGCGGCCACACUGGAACUGAGACACGGUCCAGACUCCUACGGGAGGCAGCAGUAGGGAAUCUUCCGCAAUGGGCGAAAGCCUGACGGAGCAACGCCGCGUGAGUGAUGAAGGUCUUCGGAUCGUAAAACUCUGUUAUUAGGGAAGAACAUAUGUGUAAGUAACUGUGCACAUCUUGACGGUACCUAAUCAGAAAGCCACGGCUAACUACGUG